UUAUCCCUGCUUUGUUUGUGAUGGUCCGGGGGAUCGCUUGAACCAACGCGAUGAUGAUGAGAGCCGUGACGCCCUGUGGUGUGCAAGCCUCCGCGCGAGGAAGCCUGAAGCAGGGUACUUGCAGCGGUUCUCCCUGCCGAGGCAGGUUCAUGCGACCUCCCCACACGGCAACGCGGGGCCCUU
RNAcentral lists this non-coding RNA (183 nucleotides) under Acidobacteriota bacterium. RNAcentral describes it as "Acidobacteria bacterium (sponge metagenome) 6S RNA". It matches the Rfam family "6S / SsrS RNA". From Rfam's summary of the family: E. coli 6S RNA was the first non coding RNA to be sequenced, but its function was unknown until recently. It consists of 184 nucleotides that fold into an extended hairpin structure with a large single-stranded internal bulge. Lineage: Bacteria; Pseudomonadati; Acidobacteriota. The record is from RNAcentral.